UUGAACGCUGGCGGCAGGCCUAACACAUGCAAGUCGAAUGGUAACAGGAAACAGCUUGCUGUUUCGCUGACGAGUGGCGGACGGGUGAGUAAUGUCUGGGAAACUGCCUGAUGGAGGGGGAUAACUACUGGAAACGGUAGCUAAUACCGCAUAACGUCGCAAGACCAAAGAGGGGGACCUUCGGGCCUCUUGCCAUCAGAUGUGCCCAGAUGGGAUUAGCUAGUAGGUGGGGUAACGGCUCACCUAGGCGACGAUCCCUAGCUGGUCUGAGAGGAUGACCAGCCACACUGGAACUGAGACACGGUCCAGACCCCUACGGGAGGCAGCAGUGGGGAAUAUUGCACAAUGGGCGCAAGCCUGAUGCAGCCAUGCCGCGUGUAUGAAGAAGGCCUUCGGGUUGUAAAGUACUUUCAGCGGGGAGGAAGGGAGCAAAGUUAAUACCUUUGCGCAUUGACGUUACCCGAAGAAGAAGCACCGGCUAACUACGUG
RNAcentral lists this ribosomal RNA (489 nucleotides) under uncultured bacterium. RNAcentral's name for it is "partial 16S ribosomal RNA". It matches the Rfam family "Bacterial small subunit ribosomal RNA", at positions 30 to 507 of the family's 1533-position model. The record is from RNAcentral.